This 439-nucleotide ribosomal RNA is filed under the name uncultured bacterium. RNAcentral's name for it is "bacterial SSU rRNA". It matches the Rfam family "Bacterial small subunit ribosomal RNA", at positions 28 to 480 of the family's 1533-position model. The record is from RNAcentral.
GACGAACGCUGGCGGCGCGCCUAACACAUGCAAGUCGAACGAGCGAGAGAGAGCUUGCUUUCUCGAGCGAGUGGCGAACGGGUGAGUAACGCGUGAGGAACCUGCCUCAAAGAGGGGGACAACAGUUGGAAACGACUGCUAAUACCGCAUAAGCCCACGGGUCGGCAUCGACCAGAGGGAAAAGGAGCAAUCCGCUUUGAGAUGGCCUCGCGUCCGAUUAGCUAGUUGGUGAGGUAACGGCCCACCAAGGCAACGAUCGGUAGCCGGACUGAGAGGUUGAACGGCCACAUUGGGACUGAGACACGGCCCAGACUCCUACGGGAGGCAGCAGUGGGGAAUAUUGCACAAUGGGGGAAACCCUGAUGCAGCGACGCCGCGUGGAGGAAGAAGGUCUUCGGAUUGUAAACUCCUGUUGUUGAGGAAGAUAAUGACGGUACUC